GCCAGGUGUUACGGUGUGUGCCUGUAGUCCCAACUACUCGGGAGGCUGAAGAGGGAGGAUUUCUUGAGCCCAGGAGUUCUGAGCUGCAGUGUGCUAUGCUGAUCCUGUGCUAUGCACCAAGUUAGGCAUCAAUAUGGUGACCUACCGGGAGGCGGGACUAUCAGGUUGCCUCAGGAGGGGUGAAAUGGCUCAGGUCAGAAGGAGAGUAGGUCAAAACUUUCAUACUGAUCAGUAGUGGGAUUGCACUUGUGAAUAGCCACUGUACUUUAGUCUGGGAAACAUAGCAAGACCCCAUCCCU
RNAcentral lists this signal recognition particle RNA (299 nucleotides) under Pongo abelii (Sumatran orangutan). It matches the Rfam family "Metazoan signal recognition particle RNA". From Rfam's summary of the family: The signal recognition particle (SRP) is a universally conserved ribonucleoprotein. The record is from RNAcentral. Lineage: Eukaryota; Metazoa; Chordata; Mammalia; Primates; Hominidae.